RNAcentral lists this non-coding RNA (182 nucleotides) under human gut metagenome. RNAcentral's name for it is "6S / SsrS RNA". It matches the Rfam family "6S / SsrS RNA". Rfam says of the family: E. coli 6S RNA was the first non coding RNA to be sequenced, but its function was unknown until recently. It consists of 184 nucleotides that fold into an extended hairpin structure with a large single-stranded internal bulge. The record is from RNAcentral.
UUCCCUGCGUGGUACGUGUAGAAAGGAAUUUUAGAACCAACAAAUUCUAAAAGGGAGUCCGCCUUUAAAUGUGGCGUGUAGGCUUAGUUUAUUAACUUAAGAAACCCAGGAACAUUUAACAAGACACCCACCUGCUGGUGCAGGUCCUUAAAAUUUCAUUCGGCUUACGGCUAGUGUGGGGC